RNAcentral lists this transfer RNA (86 nucleotides) under Candidatus Saccharimonadota bacterium. RNAcentral describes it as "tRNA-Leu". It matches the Rfam family "tRNA". From Rfam's summary of the family: Transfer RNA (tRNA) molecules are approximately 80 nucleotides in length. Lineage: Bacteria; Candidatus Saccharimonadota. The record is from RNAcentral.
GCGCGGGUGUUGGAAUUGGUAGACAAGUUUGACUUAAAAUCAAAUGCCCAAAAGGCGUGCGGGUUCGAUUCCCGCCCCGCGCACCA